This 291-nucleotide transfer-messenger RNA is filed under the name Marinivivus vitaminiproducens. RNAcentral's name for it is "Geminicoccaceae bacterium SCSIO 64248 transfer-messenger RNA". It matches the Rfam family "Alphaproteobacteria transfer-messenger RNA". Rfam says of the family: Bacterial tmRNA, also known as 10Sa RNA or SsrA, is named for its dual tRNA and mRNA-like properties. Its role is to liberate the mRNA from a stalled ribosome. Lineage: Bacteria; Pseudomonadati; Pseudomonadota; Alphaproteobacteria; Geminicoccales; Geminicoccaceae. The record is from RNAcentral.
GCUCUGGCAUCCCGUCGGCGAAGCGACUAUAUCUGGCUUGCCGGUCGCUCCGGCUAUGGCGAUAAACGCCUCUCGGAAUAAGCGUUGCGGACCCGGGGGCAGUACCCGGCGCCUCCACCAUGAGGGGGCGAAUCAGGUUCGACGCGCGUGGUAAAGGAGUGGUUUUUGCCCGGCAUGGUACCGCCGUUAUCGGACCAAUCCUAGAAGUGCCAACGACAAUGAGCGUAUGGCCCUCGCUGCCUAAUAGGUAAGCGCGGUCCGGGGGGCACCGGGCAACAGAAGCCCCCCACC